UGUGUUCUGGCGUAAAAUGUAAAAUUUAAACAAAAUAGAACUAUCAGCUGUGAUAAUAAAGAUCGUUUUAAUAAAAUAAAAUAUUUUAUGUUGCUUAUCACAAUUCAGUUGGUAUUUUGACGAGCCGGUCCUGUUUUGCCAGUCGAAGUUGAACAAAAAUAAGAUGUAUCAAAGAAUAUUGGGAACUAUCGCUAUUAUCUUAGUCAUAUUCAGACUGAUCGUUGAAGGCACUCAUGAUGGAAUUGAUUCAGACAACAACUACGACGCUUAUGAUACUUAUCUAGUAAAUCCUGAUUCUUAAGUCUAUGAAUAAAGUUUUCUUUUAAUAAAA
Spodoptera frugiperda (fall armyworm) is the source of this 331-nucleotide long non-coding RNA. RefSeq lists it as uncharacterized. The transcript has 3 exons. The record is from RefSeq and is a predicted model, not a curated record. NCBI's taxonomy places the organism in Eukaryota, Metazoa, Arthropoda, Insecta, Lepidoptera, Noctuidae.